Molecule: ribosomal RNA, 820 nt
Filed under: uncultured bacterium
Lineage: Bacteria
Description: bacterial SSU rRNA
Rfam family: Bacterial small subunit ribosomal RNA
Source: RNAcentral
AGAGUUUGAUCAUGGCUCAGAGCGAACGUUAGCGGCGGGCCUAACACAUGCAAGUCGAACGAUGAAGCACCUUCGGGUGUGGAUUAGUGGCGCACGGGUGAGUAACACGUAGGUAAUUUACCCUCGGGCGGGGGACAACUUUUCGAAAGAGAAGCUAAUACCGCAUAAGACCACAGCCUCUGCGGGGGCAGUGGGAAAAGAUGGCCUCUUCUUGAAAGCUAUCACCGGAGGAUGAGCCUGCGUCCCAUCAGCUUGUUGGUAAGGUAACGGCUUACCAAGGCGAAGACGGGUAGCUGGUCUGAGAGGAUGAUCAGCCACACUGGUACUGGAACACGGACCAGACUCCCACGGGAGGCAGCAGUGAGGAAUAUUGGGCAAUGGGCGCAAGCCUGACCCAGCCACGCCGCGUGAGUGAUGAAGGCCUUCGGGUUGUAAAGCUCUGUGGGGAGAGACGAAAACGUCGGUUCAUAAUACGCUCCGGCCUUGACGGUAUCUCUUUAGCAAGCACCGGCUAACUCUGUGCCAGCAGCCGCGGUAAUACAGAGGGUGCAAACGUUGCUCGGAAUUACUGGGCGUAAAGCGCGUGUAGGCGGAUUCGAAAGUCAGAUGUGAAAUCCCUGGGCUCAACCUAGGAACUGCAUUUGAAACUUCGUGUCUAGAGUGAUGGAGAGGAAAGCGGAAUUAUUGGUGUAGAGGUGAAAUUCGUAGAUAUCAAUAGGAACACCAGUGGCGAAGGCGGCUUUCUGGACAUUUACUGACGCUGAGACGCGAAAGCAUGGGGAGCAAACAGGAUUAGAUACCCUGGUAGUCCAUGCCGUAA